This 423-nucleotide ribosomal RNA is filed under the name uncultured bacterium. Its description in RNAcentral is "bacterial SSU rRNA". It matches the Rfam family "Bacterial small subunit ribosomal RNA", at positions 207 to 622 of the family's 1533-position model. The record is from RNAcentral.
CAAGACCUGCACUUUUGGAGCGGCCGAUGUCUGAUUAGCUAGUUGGUGGGGUAAUGGCCUACCAAAGCUUCGAUCAGUAGCUGGUCUGAGAGGACGGCCAGCCACACUGGGACUGAGACACGGCCCAGACUCCUACGGGAGGCAGCAGUGGGGAAUUUUGGACAAUGGGCGCAAGCCUGAUCCAGCCAUGCCGCGUGAGUGAAGAAGGCCUUCGGGUUGUAAAGCUCUUUCAGCCGGGAAGAAAAGGUUGCGACUAAUAAUCGCAAUCCAUGACGGUACCGAAAGAAGAAGCACCGGCUAACUACGUGCCAGCAGCCGCGGUAAUACGUAGGGUGCGAGCGUUAAUCGGAAUUACUGGGCGUAAAGGGUGCGCAGGCGGUUUUGUAAGUCAGAUGUGAAAUCCCCGGGCUUAACCUGGGAACU